RNAcentral lists this ribosomal RNA (324 nucleotides) under uncultured eukaryote. RNAcentral's name for it is "partial 18S ribosomal RNA". It matches the Rfam family "Eukaryotic small subunit ribosomal RNA", at positions 1470 to 1796 of the family's 1831-position model. The record is from RNAcentral.
CCCCUAGAUGUCCUGGGCUGCACGCGCGCUACACUGAUGUGUCCAGUAAGCACCUAACCUCUUCCGAAAGGAACGGGUAACCUUUGCAAAGCACAUCGUGAUGGGGAUAGAUUAUUGCAAUUAUUAGUCUUGAACGAGGAAUUCCUAGUAAGCACAAGUCAUCAGCUUGUGUUGAUUACGUCCCUGCCCUUUGUACACACCGCCCGUCGCUCCUACCGAUUGAAUGUUCCGGUGAGCUCUUCGGACUGCGCGGUCUGCAGUUUCUGCGUUCCGUGCGGAAAGUUGCGCAAACCUUAACAUUUAGAGGGAGGAGAAGUCGUAACA